CAGUCGCCGCGGUAAUACAGAGGGUGCAAGCGUUAAUCGGAAUUACUGGGCGUAAAGCGCGCGUAGGUGGUUUGUUAAGUUGGAUGUGAAAGCCCCGGGCUCAACCUGGGAACUGCAUCCAAAACUGGCAAGCUAGAGUUCGGUAGAGGGUGGUGGAAUUUCCUGUGUAGCGGUGAAAUGCGUAGAUAUAGGAAGGAACACCAGUGGCGAAGGCGACCACCUGGACUGAUACUGACACUGAGGUGCGAAAGCGUGGGGAGCAAACAGAAUUAGAUACCCGCGUAGUCCCUGUCUCUUAUAC
Molecule: ribosomal RNA, 301 nt
Filed under: uncultured bacterium
Lineage: Bacteria
Description: partial 16S ribosomal RNA
Rfam family: Bacterial small subunit ribosomal RNA
Source: RNAcentral